CACGGGUACACUCUUGUUUGUUAAGUAUUUAAGUGUUAAUCCGAAUUUAGAAAAAGAAUUUUGAGCCUAAAAUAGGACUAUAGGUAAUAGCGACUUCAACUUCCAUUUAAUUCCGCGCCUAAUCCAUCAUCUAUAAAAAGAGACCUCCCGCCUUCCGGAGCACCGAAGAGCGAAACCACUCAUCAGUCAUCACAAUUACAAUUUCUCUCUCUAAAAACCUCAACCUCUUUCUCUUUCUAAAUUCACACUUCUUUCAAAAUCCAUCAAAGUUUCAUCUCUAAUGCCGGAAAUGUACGCACUCAAAUCUGAAGAACAGAGCCAACAGUUGCAGCUUGUUCAACGAGAAGAAAUCGAAGAUGAAGAGGACUUGUUCGAAGCUAUUGAUAAGUAUGGCUAGAUGCUUCAAGAUGCCACUUGCAUUGUAAUGGCUUGAUGAUGCAGACGAAGAAGAAUUUGACUGGUAUUAAAGGAUUAUCUGAGGCUAGAGCUGAUAUUCUGAUAAAAUAUGCGAAGCUGCCAAGAAGAUUGUGGUAAGUUCUCUGCAAUGAUGCAAUCUGAUUUCUCAAUUAUUCGGUCUGUCAAAUUGGUUUCGAACCUAAUCAAAUAAUGUUGUUAAGCUUUAAUCUAUCCAGAAUUAUGGUUACCUUACAGGAAGUGAUGCUGUACUUUGAUAAAUUUUAAAAUUAUGGUUACCUUACAGGAAGUGAUGCUGUACUUUGAUAAUCUGAUUUCUCAAUUAUUUGCUCAAAGUAAGAUCCUGUACUUUGAUAAAUUUUAAAAUUCGGAAUUUGAAAAUAUGAAAAUUCCGUUAAGGACUAUCACUUGUUCUUAUAGAUUUAAGUUUAUAAUUUAUGAAGUUUAUGCUCUUGAUUCCCCAUCCUACUGCUGUGGCAACAUUUCCAGGGUUUUCCGUGUUUGUUGAAUCAUUUUUUGCUCAGAAAAUGACUAGCUGAGGACUAAUUUCCAAAUAUUUUUACUUCUUUUCUUGGUUUUAAGGCUACAUUUUACUUUUUGAUUGAUUAUAUACUAGCAUAAGCAAAUUUAAUUAUGUUUACUAGUUACCUAUCUAAUUUUCUGGCCUCAUGGCUUGAUAAUGAUUCUGCUCAGCUCUGAAAAAACUCAGCUAGCACAUACUCUAUGCGUCUCAACACAGGUAAAGCUUCUAUUGUAUGCCAGAUUCAUGAUCUUAAACAUAAACAGCUAAAUUUUGUAGGCAUUAAGUUUAAUCAGCAUACUAAGAAGAAAUAACCACUAGAUUAGACUAUAUUUUUGUUGGGAUUGCAAUUUGAUGAAAGUAUUAAAGCGCUUUACAAGUUACAACCUCUGACUUGUAUGGUUGUUAACAGUCAGGUUUUAUUGUUUCAGUUAAUUUGCUACUUUAGUCGAACAUUUCAACCUUAGAAUCGGAUUUUCAGGAAACUGCAGGGUAUUCAUUGACAAAAUUAGGAUGAUAGUGUACUUGUAUUACUGAGUUUGUAAGUCGGUGACACAUUGCCUCAGUUGCUUUUUAAAGGAAACAAGAAAUGGUCUCACAUGUUCUGUAAAUGAAGGAUAAUUUGUCCAUGCAUGUGUUUGAUGUAAACAUGUGUUUUGAUUUCCUUGAGGGUAGAAGUCUCAAGUUAAACUGGUAAAGUUUACUUGUUUUGCAAUGCUUACCUUCAGCUUCUGACUAGCAUGAGAGGAGGAAGUGGGAACGUUGCCUAAAUCGACACUGAAGGAACUUUGUAUUCUCUCUUGUCAUUCUAUUUAAAUUUGUAGUACUGAAACAGAUUAAAAAUUGUGCAACUGAAGUACAUUUAAAAAUAUUUUUCUCUUCACUGACUACACUACAGUCGACCAGAUCGUAUUGUGCCAGUUGCUGAAAGGUUUGGGAUGGAUGCUGCUGCUGUCCUAGACAAUAUCAUAUAUGCACGUGCAUAUACGUAUGAACAUCAGUGCAACCUCCUUGGCUUGGCAGCAAAAGUGGCUGAGGAACCCUUCCGACUACUGAUUUUGUCAUUGCUCUAUUCCGAAUUUCCGAGUGGAUUUCACAGGGAAGAGAAGAGCUUGCAGACUGACAGCAAAAACUGGCCCAAAUACUGUCUCGUUUGAUGAAGUUUGCUGAAGAGUUCGACAUUGCUAGCAGACAUUCAAAUCAAUAUAUCUGUUACCAGAAAGAGCAAAGGAAAAGUUGCCAGGGAAGAGAGAAAGAAGUUAAAGAGGGAUAAAGCACGAUUUACUGCUAUGUGGCAAGAAUAUCUACGUUCUCGACCGCCAUCGAUCGAGGAGGAACCACCACCACCUAAUUGUGUUUAGGCUAGUGUUUCGUUAGAAUCCUAAAAACUUAGCAUUGACUAAGUUAGUACUCGAUGCUCUUUUAUGAAGGUGUCGUUUGGUUGACGAAAAACACAUCAAAAGUCCACGAAUUGAAAUUUGUUGACGUUUGGUCGAUAAAUUCAAAAUUUUCCACUUCUUACAAAGUGGAGGUGCUUUAUUUUCUAGGGAAACUUAAGGGAAAUCGAAAUUCCCAAUCGAAUGAUUAACCAAACCAUUAAAUUUUUUUCAAGAAAUCCAAUUACGAAAUUGAAUUAGCAAUUCCUACUUUCAACCAAAUGAGCCUACUUUCAACCAAACGAGUCUUAAAUCAACAAUUUGCUGGGUUCUAAGAGGUAGGGGGAAAAAUCACUUUUGGGUAGUAUCUUCAAUCUUGUUUAGUGAUAAUAGAAUUGUCAGUUUGUAUUGUGAGUUUUUGGCAUG
This is a long non-coding RNA of Chenopodium quinoa (quinoa), 2736 nucleotides long. RefSeq lists it as uncharacterized. The record is from RefSeq and is a predicted model, not a curated record. The transcript has 8 exons. Lineage: Eukaryota; Viridiplantae; Streptophyta; Magnoliopsida; Caryophyllales; Amaranthaceae.